GGGGGAUUAGCUCAGCUGGGAGAGCAGCUGCUUUGCAAGCAGGGGGUCGUCGGUUCGAUCCCGUCAUCCUCCA
This 73-nucleotide transfer RNA is filed under the name Janthinobacterium agaricidamnosum NBRC 102515 = DSM 9628. It matches the Rfam family "tRNA". Rfam says of the family: Transfer RNA (tRNA) molecules are approximately 80 nucleotides in length. Their secondary structure includes four short double-helical elements and three loops (D, anti-codon, and T loops). Further hydrogen bonds mediate the characteristic L-shaped molecular structure. tRNAs have two regions of fundamental functional importance: the anti-codon, which is responsible for specific mRNA codon recognition, and the 3' end, to which the tRNAs corresponding amino acid is attached (by aminoacyl-tRNA synthetases). tRNAs cope with the degeneracy of the genetic code in two manners: having more than one tRNA (with a specific anti-codon) for a particular amino acid; and 'wobble' base-pairing, i.e. permitting non-standard base-pairing at the 3rd anti-codon position. The record is from Rfam by way of RNAcentral. Lineage: Bacteria; Pseudomonadati; Pseudomonadota; Betaproteobacteria; Burkholderiales; Oxalobacteraceae.